RNAcentral lists this ribosomal RNA (449 nucleotides) under Synalpheus aff. brevifrons KMH-2014. Its description in RNAcentral is "partial 16S ribosomal RNA". It matches the Rfam family "Bacterial large subunit ribosomal RNA", at positions 1916 to 2576 of the family's 2925-position model. Lineage: Eukaryota; Metazoa; Arthropoda; Malacostraca; Decapoda; Alpheidae. The record is from RNAcentral.
AUAUUUAUUGAAGGGCUGCGGUAAUUUGACCGUGCAAAGGUAGCAUAAUCAAUAGUCUUUUAAUUGGAGGCUUGGAUGAAAGGUUUGACGGAGGGAAAACUGUCUUUUUAAUUGAUAUUGAAUUUAACUUUUAUGUGAAAAGGCAUUAAUGAUUUAGUGGGACGAUAAGACCCUAUAAAGUUUUACAUGUGUAUUGAUUUAAUUAAAUUGUUUAUUUAAUAAUUAAAUUAUUGAGAUGUGUUUUGCUGGGGCGGCAUGAAUAUAAUGAUUAACUGUUUUUAAUAUUAUAUAUUUAUAGAUAGUGAGUGGUCCUUUAUUUAAGAGGUUAAGAUCAAGUUACUUUAGGGAUAACAGCGUAAUUUUAUUUGAGAGUUCGUAUCGAAGAUAAUAGUUGUGACCUCGAUGUUGAAUUAAAUUUUCUUUUGGGUGCAGGAGUUCAUAAAGAGGGG